Molecule: long non-coding RNA, 218 nt
Filed under: Elaeis guineensis (African oil palm)
Lineage: Eukaryota; Viridiplantae; Streptophyta; Magnoliopsida; Arecales; Arecaceae
Description: long non-coding RNA (EGUI_LNC058080)
Source: RNAcentral
GAUAUUCUUUGAAAUGAGCUUUAUAGACCUAUCUUUUAAUAUGUUCGUUUGCUGUCCUUGACACAGGCUGGACAUCCUUGGAUCUUGAAAUAAUCAAGAUUCAGUUCUCACCAUGUCAUAUCUCAUACGGUGUGGUAGAAAAGAUUUAAAGAGAAUCUAAUUCCAUAGAAAUAAAGCAUAUUCCUAAAGAAACAAAAUAAAUUAGUGAAGUCCAUCAU